The sequence is a small nuclear RNA, 150 nucleotides long. Its record names the gene U4. It matches the Rfam family "U4 spliceosomal RNA". From Rfam's summary of the family: U4 small nuclear RNA (U4 snRNA) is a component of the major U2-dependent spliceosome. The structure of U4 snRNA from yeast and human has been reported. U4 snRNA presents a k-turn RNA motif in the 5p-SL related to recognition of Snu13 protein. The record is from Ensembl.
AGCUUUGCGCAGUGGCAGUAUCGUAGCCAAUGAGGUUUAUCCGAGGCGCGAUUAUUGCUAAUUGAAAAAAAAGAAUAAAGUUUAGAAGACCCGUACUAUGUGAUUUCAGAACGUAUUAUAAAGCUGCAGUAACUGAGACACUGUGGUAGU